RNAcentral lists this long non-coding RNA (1099 nucleotides) under Olea europaea subsp. europaea. Lineage: Eukaryota; Viridiplantae; Streptophyta; Magnoliopsida; Lamiales; Oleaceae. The record is from RNAcentral.
GUGGAUGUUCAAGCUAUCAGUGCUGUUAAUGCUUGGAAACACUCGGACUUCUUAUGCCGGAAUUACAUCAUGAACAGUUUGGCAGAUUCGCUAUACAACGUGUAUAGCACCAUGAAAACUGCUAAGGAGUUGUGGGAGUCUUUGGACCGAAAAUAUAAGACUGAGGAUGCCGGGGCUAAGAAAUUUAUCGUCGGCCGAUUCUUGGACUAUAAGAUGGUGGACUCCAAAACUAUAAUCAGUCAAGUGCAAGAACUCCAAGUGAUUCUUCACGAAAUUCAUGCCGAAGGGAUGAUUCUGAGUGAAACUUUCCAAGUGGCUGCAAUCAUUGAAAAAUUGCCUCCCGCGUGGAAAGAUUUCAAGAAUUAUCUGAAACACAAGCGAAAGGAAAUGAACGUUGAAGAACUGAUUGUUAGACUUCGAAUUGAAGAAGACAACAAGAGUUCCGAAAAGAAGUGGUUCAAUCCUGGUGCGGCUAAGGCCAAUAUUGUUGAACAUGGUCAAGGUAGUAAGAACUACAAAACCAAAGCUGGGCCAUCCGGUGGAAAAGGGAUCAAGCUGGGACCAAAAGGGGGCAUUCCUAAGAAGAAAUUUCAAGGGAAGUGCUUCAACUGUGACAAAGUAGGCCACAAAUCUUCGGAGUGCAGAUUGCCAAAGAAGAAGAAAGAAGCAAAUGUGGUUGACUACAUGGCACAUGAUGUGUCGGAGAUGAGUCUCGCAGCAGUCAUUUCUGAAGUGAACAUGGUGGGUUCUAACCCAAAAGAAUGGUGGAUUGACACCGGAGCUACGAGACAUGUGUGCUCUGAUAAAGAGUUAUAUACUGCUUUUGAAGCAGUUGAGAAUGGAGAGAAGUUGUUCAUGGGAAAUUCAGCAACUUCUGAAAUCAAGGGCCAAGGAAAAGUGGUUCUAAAGAUGACUUCGGGAAAAGAGCUGACUCUCAACAACGUGCUGUAUGUGCCGAAAAUCCGCAAGAACCUUGUGUCCGGGUCACUUUUGAAUAAGCAUGGUUUUCGCAUUGUGUUUGAGUCAGACAAGGUCAUCUUGUCGAAAAGUGGAAUGUUUGUCGGAAAAGGUUAUGUUUCCGAUGGAAUGUUUAAACUCA